GUACGUUGUGGCGCAGUGGGAGCGCGCAUGGCUCUGACCCUGAGGUCCCUGGAUCGAAACCAGGCGCGUACA
Non-coding RNA from Ascoidea rubescens DSM 1968, 72 nucleotides. Lineage: Eukaryota; Fungi; Ascomycota; Saccharomycetes; Ascoideales; Ascoideaceae. The record is from the annotation of a RefSeq genome assembly.